This 125-nucleotide small nuclear RNA is filed under the name Mustela putorius furo (domestic ferret). RNAcentral's name for it is "U4 spliceosomal RNA". It matches the Rfam family "U4 spliceosomal RNA". From Rfam's summary of the family: U4 small nuclear RNA (U4 snRNA) is a component of the major U2-dependent spliceosome. The structure of U4 snRNA from yeast and human has been reported. The record is from Rfam by way of RNAcentral. Lineage: Eukaryota; Metazoa; Chordata; Mammalia; Carnivora; Mustelidae.
AGCUUUGCGCAGUGGCAGUAUCGUAGCCAAUGAGGUUUAUCCGAGGCGCGAUUAUUGCUAAUUGCUAAUAAUGUUGGGCAUCUUUUCAUGCUCUUAUUCGCCAUCUGUUUAUCUUCUUUGGAGAA